CAUGACUGUGCACAAACUGUAAUGUUCUACCAAUUGAGAUGGAAACUGAAAUUGUCAAAAUUUAUAAAUACUGUGCAGUAGAUAUUCACAGAGUACAUAAGUAACCAAUGUACAAGACUUUUGUGCCAGAAGCUGGUAUUAAAUACAAAGAAACAUCUCAGAAUGCCUGUAUAUGACUCUGCUGCCUGUUAUCCUUUGGAUUUUGGAAAUGCCCAAGCCUUAGAAAACCCAUUAUGUAAAGCAACCCAAAUUUAGGUUGCAUUAUGUGCAAAAUCAGUUGGAAAACUCUAAUCAAAUUAUUCAAUGAGUCUCGUCUUUCGGCUUGGAGGAGGCAAAGGUGCAACUUUCUUCAGUCGUCCGGAAUCCGGGUUCAUCCGACACCGGCCACCUCCACCAUGCAGCCCAAGUUCGACCCCAACGAGAUCAAAGUCGUGUACUUGAGGUGCACCGGUGGCGAGGUCGGCGCCACAUCUGCCUUGGCCCCUAAGAUUGGUCCUUUGGGUCUGUCUCCAAAAAAGGUUGGUGAUGACAUUGCCAAAGCAACUGGUGAUUGGACGGGUCUGAGGAUUACAGUGAAACUGACCAUUCAGAACAGACAGGCCCAGAUUGAGGUUGUGCCUUCUGCCUCCGCCCUGAUCAUCAAAGCCCUCAAGGAGCCCCCAAGAGACAGGAAGAAACAGAAGAACAUUAAACACAGUGGAAACAUCACCUUUGAUGAAAUUGUCAACAUUGCCAGACAGAUGCGUCACCGAUCAUUAGCCAGAGAACUUUCUGGAACGAUUAAAGAGAUCCUGGGCACUGCACAGUCUGUGGGCUGCAAUGUCGAUGGCCGUCACCCUCAUGACAUCAUAGAUGACAUCAACAGUGGUGCAGUGGAAUGCCCAGCUAGUUAAGAAGUACAAAAGAAAAUGUUUUAAUAAAUCAUCUGGGCUUCU
Non-coding RNA from Castor canadensis (American beaver), 935 nucleotides. Lineage: Eukaryota; Metazoa; Chordata; Mammalia; Rodentia; Castoridae. The record is from RefSeq and is a predicted model, not a curated record.